RNAcentral lists this ribosomal RNA (547 nucleotides) under Phialocephala fortinii. RNAcentral describes it as "eukaryotic LSU rRNA". The stretch from base 198 to 351 matches the Rfam family "5.8S ribosomal RNA". Lineage: Eukaryota; Fungi; Ascomycota; Leotiomycetes; Helotiales; Mollisiaceae. The record is from RNAcentral.
UAGUGACCUGCGGAGGAUCAUUACAAGUGAGGCUACCGAACGUUGGAAACAGCGGUUAGGAGCUUACACCCACCCGUGUUUACAUACUAUUGUUGCUUUGGCGGGCCGUGGCCUCCACUACGGGCUCUGCUCGUGUGUGCCCGCCAGAGGACCAAACUCUGAAUGUUAGUGAUGUCUGAGUACUAUCUAAUAGUUAAAACUUUCAACAACGGAUCUCUUGGUUCUGGCAUCGAUGAAGAACGCAGCGAAAUGCGAUAAGUAAUGUGAAUUGCAGAAUUCAGUGAAUCAUCGAAUCUUUGAACGCACAUUGCGCCCUGUGGUAUUCCGCAGGGCAUGCCUGUUCGAGCGUCAUUUAACCACUCACGCCUAGCGUGGUAUUGGGGCACGCGGUCUCGCGGCCCUCAAAAUUAGUGGCGGCGCCGGUGGGCUCUAAGCGUAGUACAUACUCCCGCUAUAGAGUUCCCCCGGUGGCUCGCCAGAACCCCCAAUUUUUUACAGGUUGACCUCGGAUCAGGUAGGGAUACCCGCUGAACUUAAGCAUAUCAAA